CGGCAGGCCUAACACAUAGCAAGUCGAACGGUAACAGGAAGAAGCUUGCUCUUGCUGACGAGUGGCGGACAGGUGAGUAAUGUCUGGGAAACUGCCUGAUGGAGGGGGAUAACUACUGGAAACGGUAGCUAAUACCGCAUAACGUCGCAAGACCAAAGAGGGGGACCUUCGGGCCUCUUGCCAUCGGAUGUGCCCAGAUGGGAUUAGCUAGUAGGUGGGGUAACGGCUCACCUAGGCGACGAUCCCUAGCUGGUCUGAGAGGAUGACCAGCCACACUGGAACUGAGACACGGUCCAGACUCCUACGGGAGGCAGCAGUGGGGAAUAUUGCACAAUGGGCGCAAGCCUGAUGCAGCCAUGCCCGCGUGUAUGAAGAAGGCCUUCGGGUUGUAAAGUACUUUCAGCGGGGAGGAAGGGAGUAAAGUUAAUACCUUUGCUCAUUGACGUUACCCGCAGAAAAAGCACCGGCUAACUCCGUGCCAGCCGCCGC
This 489-nucleotide ribosomal RNA is filed under the name uncultured bacterium. RNAcentral's name for it is "bacterial SSU rRNA". It matches the Rfam family "Bacterial small subunit ribosomal RNA", at positions 40 to 518 of the family's 1533-position model. The record is from RNAcentral.